This 1936-nucleotide small RNA is filed under the name Pongo abelii (Sumatran orangutan). Its description in RNAcentral is "retained intron". Lineage: Eukaryota; Metazoa; Chordata; Mammalia; Primates; Hominidae. The record is from RNAcentral.
GUCACUAUUGAAACUUUGAGAUGUUUGAGUACCUGACCCAUAUUUUAUUUAUAAUAAUACCCCCAGUUGUAAGUGAAAACUGAUGCCCAAGAAUGGUUGUUGAGUAAAACAAAAAAUAAAUGAAUAAAUGAAGUAGAAUUACGGAAGAUAAAAGUGUAGCUAGAGGUUAUGUUGAGGACUGAGAGCAGGUGCAGAAAUUAAAGGAUUAGUGGUGGUGGGGACUACUGGACAGGAAUCAAAAUUUCAAAUGUACAGUCUUGUAGGUGAGUCAAUUCCUAGGGUUAAUGAAGACAUACUGUAUGUGUGGCUGUUGUCAAAGUAGGGAGAUAGCCUUGGGAGGAGGGUUGUCCUGUUUCAUAUGCCCACAAGUAGGCAUGUAUAUCUUAGAUAUCUUAGACCCUUCCACUCUAAGGAACAUGGACCAUUUGCUCUUUGAAUGACAUUUCUUGCCACUGCUUUUAUACCCUUUUUGCUACUUGUGUUCCAAAUGCAAUGCCUCAGGGAAAACACUUGAGGUUUUUCCUUUAAUCAGAGCUUAGCUCUGUGUCCUCAUAGCCUGCUUGCUGCUGUUGCAUCAUAUCCCACCUUUAGCCAGGCUUCAACAUGCUUUAGUAUUCAGUUGUUGAGGAAAUAGUCCUCGUUGAAUAAUCAAGCUGCCACAUUCAUGCUACAUAAUUACAGUGAUUGCUCUCCGAAGAUAAUCCCAUUACAGAUAUGUUUCUCUUCUUGGGUAGACCCUGGGGAAAUGAGUCAAUUUCUAAAUAAAUACCAUUGUAUUUUGAAUAAUUAAAAUAAGCAUAAGUCUUUGAAAGAUUUGUAUAAAUUUUCCACAUGGGAAAGAAAUUCUUGUCACAGUCAGAAGAGAUACAGUAUGUCAUGUUCUCCUGUUAUUGUUCAUGACUAAAAUACAAGCAAAUAAUAUAUUCUACAUAUACUAUGCCACAAAUGUUGCCUCUAAUGAAAUAUUGACUCAUCAAGGAUAACUAUUGUAACAUGUACAUAUAUAAGAAUUGAUAGGCAAUGAAAUAUGUGAUAGUUAAAGACAUGAUAUUUUAACAAUUUUUUUAUUCUUAUUAUACUCCCAUGUCAAUCAAUUUAAAGUUUUAAAAUUCUGAGUCAUGUGUUUUGGCAAUCAAAUGGUCUGUAACUUUGGAAAUUUGGUAGCAUUUCCAAAACUGUGAACAUACUCAAAUGCUUAUUUUCAUUUAAAACAAAGAUUUUUAAAAAUGUUUUAUAGUCUGAGACAAAGAUUUAAUUUUCAGCUGACUAAUUAAAAUUUGUGCAUGUAAUUUAUUCAUCAUUGAUGGAAUUUAAUCAGAAAUAACUCAAAUAUGAAUCAGAGGAAGAAAUAACUAAUAAUAUAUCUAAAUUAACAUUGUCCAAUAUAGUAAUUUCAGUUUUUGUAAUCUACAGACCUGUUCGCCUUAUUCCUAUUUUGAAACAUGUAGGAUAUAUGUUUUUUAAAGUAGAAGUAUUUUUUACUUGACUUUGUUUUCCAUUUGUCAGGUGUUUUGCAAUAUGGAUGUCAAUGGGGGAGGUUGGACUGUAAUACAACAUCGUGAAGAUGGAAGUCUAGAUUUCCAAAGAGGCUGGAAAGAAUAUAAAAUGGGUUUUGGAAAUCCCUCCGGUGAAUAUUGGCUGGGGAAUGAGUUUAUUUUUGCCAUUACCAGUCAGAGGCAGUACAUGCUAAGAAUUGAGUUAAUGGACUGGGAAGGGAACCGAGCCUAUUCACAGUACGACAGAUUCCACAUAGGAAAUGAAAAGCAAAACUAUAGGUAAGUCAUGUUACAGUGUAGUGUUCGACUACCUUUGACCUAGCCACUUAAUAAUUGUAGUGGGAAAAUAUGAAAAAAAGAAAUGAAAAUCAUCCUUCAAAAUGAAAAUUGUUUUUUUUGUCUAGACCUGUUACAAAGAAAUACAAAAAAGCCUGUAAAGA